UACGUAGGGUGCAAGCGUUGUCCGGAAUUAUUGGGCGUAAAGAGCUCGUAGGCGGUUUGUCGCGUCUGCUGAAAACCUAAGGCUCAACCUUGGGCUUGCAGUGGGUACGGGCAGACUAGAGUGCGGUAGGGGUGACUGGAAUUCCUGGUGUAGCGGUGGAAUGCGCAGAUAUCAGGAGGAACACCGAUGGCGAAGGCAGGUCACUGGGCCGCAACUGACGCUGAGGAGCGAAAGCAUGGGGAGCGAACAGG
Molecule: ribosomal RNA, 251 nt
Filed under: uncultured bacterium
Lineage: Bacteria
Description: partial 16S ribosomal RNA
Rfam family: Bacterial small subunit ribosomal RNA
Source: RNAcentral